This 220-nucleotide unclassified non-coding RNA is filed under the name plant metagenome. RNAcentral's name for it is "partial contains small subunit ribosomal RNA, internal transcribed spacer 1, and 5.8S ribosomal RNA". The record is from RNAcentral.
UUUCCGUUGGUGAACCAGCGGAAGGAUCAUUACAGAGGUCGUGCCCUUCGGGGUAGACCUCCCACCCUGUGUUAUUUACGUAUGUUGCUUUGGCGGGCCGCCUCCGGGCUCUCGGCUUCGGCCGAGGUGUGCCCGCCAGAGAACCCACAACCCUGUGUUUAGUGUCGUCCGAGUAUUAUCAAAUAAGUUAAAACUUUCAACAACGGAUCUCUUGGUUCUG